RNAcentral lists this ribosomal RNA (518 nucleotides) under uncultured bacterium. Its description in RNAcentral is "bacterial SSU rRNA". It matches the Rfam family "Bacterial small subunit ribosomal RNA", at positions 8 to 523 of the family's 1533-position model. The record is from RNAcentral.
AGAGUUUGAUCCUGGCUCAGAUUGAACGCUGGCGGCAUGCCUUACACAUGCAAGUCGAACGGUAACAGGCCGCAAGGUGCUGACGAGUGGCGAACGGGUGAGUAAUGCAUCGGAACGUGCCCAGUCGUGGGGGAUAACUGCUCGAAAGAGCAGCUAAUACCGCAUACGACCUGAGGGUGAAAGCGGGGGACCGUAAGGCCUCGCGCGAUUGGAGCGGCCGAUGUCAGAUUAGCUAGUUGGUGGGGUAAAGGCCUACCAAGGCAACGAUCUGUAGUUGGUCUGAGAGGACGACCAGCCACACUGGGACUGAGACACGGCCCAGACUCCUACGGGAGGCAGCAGUGGGGAAUUUUGGACAAUGGGCGCAAGCCUGAUCCAGCAAUGCCGCGUGCAGGAAGAAGGCCUUCGGGUUGUAAACUGCUUUUGUCAGGGAAGAAAUCUUCUGGGCUAAUACCCCGGGAGGAUGACGGUACCUGAAGAAUAAGCACCGGCUAACUACGUGCCAGCAGCCGCGGUAU